GAUGAACGCUGGCGGCGUGCCUAAUACAUGCAAGUCGAGCGAACAGACGAUGAUCUUGCUCCUCGGACGUUAGCGGCGGACGGGUGAGUAACACGUGUAUAACCUACCUAUAAUACUGGUAUAACUUCGGGAAACCGGAGCUAAUACCGUAUAAGAUAUUGAACCGCAUUGUUCAAUGGUGAAAUACGGUUUUUCUGUCACUUAUAGAUGCAUCUCCGCCGUAUUAGAUAGUUGGUAAGGUAACAGCUUACCAAGGCAACGAUGCGUAGACGAACUGAGAGGGUGAUAGGCCACACUGGAACGGAGACACAGUCCAGACGCCUACGGGAGGCAGCAGUAGGGAAUCUUACGCAAUGGGCGAAAGCCUGACGGAGCAACGCCGAGUGAGUGAUGAAGGUCUUCGGAUCGUAAAACUCUGUUAUUAGGGAAGAACAAAUGUGUAAGUAACUAUGCACGUCUUGACGGUAACUAAUAAGAAAGCCACGGCUAACUACGUG
RNAcentral lists this ribosomal RNA (497 nucleotides) under uncultured bacterium. RNAcentral's name for it is "partial 16S ribosomal RNA". It matches the Rfam family "Bacterial small subunit ribosomal RNA", at positions 28 to 507 of the family's 1533-position model. The record is from RNAcentral.